Molecule: RNA transcript, 2441 nt
Organism: Syzygium oleosum
Lineage: Eukaryota; Viridiplantae; Streptophyta; Magnoliopsida; Myrtales; Myrtaceae
Gene name: protein WHAT'S THIS FACTOR 1 homolog, chloroplastic
Exons: 2
Source: RefSeq, a predicted model, not a curated record
UGUCAUUUCCUGUGACUUUUUUCGUUCGCUCGGCUCAGCUUCAAGCUCGUGAAAUUACCUUCCUUCUUCCUCAGUUGGGAAGUGUUUGCAUUAUCUCUUUCGUUCGAUGAAGCUGUUAUGGAACAGGGACUGUUGCUUCAGCCCUUAACUCCUCUUCCUUUCUCUCUUCUCGAAAGACCCAGAUUGCCUGCGAAACCACGUGCCUCUUGUUCCCCACGUUAUCCGGAAAAGGCUCCAUUUUUGGGCAAAGCUUUGAUUUUGCGACAGAACAGUGCAAAUCCGAGACACCCAGUAAGGACUUCUUGUCCGGUAAGGGCUGGGGUGAAAAGAAGGAAGGAGCUUCCGUUUGAUAAUGUAAUUCAAAGGGACAAGAAACUGAAAAUGGUUCUCAAGAUUAGGAAGAUUCUCGUAAGCCAACCCGAUCGAACAAUGUCGCUGCGGGAACUGGGUAGGUACAAGAGGGCUCUGGGGUUGGAUAAAAAACGAAGAUUGAUCGCUCUGUUGAGGAAAUUCCCGGCUGUGUUUGAAAUUGUAGAAGAAGGGUUUUAUUCUUUGAAGUUCAAGUUGACCCCUGAAGCAGAAAGGCUUUAUCUUGAGGAGUUGAAAGUUAGGAGUGAGAUGGAGGAUCUGUUAGUAGUCAAAUUGAGGAAAUUGGUCAUGAUGUCUCUGGAGAAGCGCAUUUUACUCGAGAAGAUUGCGCAUUUAAGGAGUGAUUUGGGGCUUCCAUUAGAAUUCCGUGAUACGAUCUGCCACCGGUAUCCGCAAUACUUCAGGGUCAUAGCGACCUCGGGAGGCCCGGCUUUAGAGCUAACUCAUUGGGAUCCCGAGCUCGCGGUAUCUGCUGUGCAGCUUGCUGAAGAGGAGAACAGGGCGAGAGAGAUUGAAGAGAAGAAUUUGAUCAUUGAUAGGCCUCCCAAGUUUAAUAGAGUGAGGUUGCCCAAGGUUCUGGUCUUGUCUAGGGGUGAGAUGAAGAGGAUUUCUAAAUUCAGAGAUAUGCCGUAUAUAUCCCCUUACUCUGAUUUCUCGGCAUUGCGGUCAGGUACGCCAGAGAAAGAGAAGCAUGCUUGUGGGGUUGUCCAUGAGAUUUUGAGCCUCACUGUUGAGAAGAGAACUCUUGUUGAUCACCUCACUCAUUUUAGGGAGGAAUUGAGAUUCUCGCAGCAGCUGAGGGGUAUGCUGAUAAGGCAUCCGGAUAUGUUUUAUGUAUCUCUAAAAGGGGACAGGGACUCGGUAUUCCUGAGGGAAGCAUACCAUGGCUCCCAUUUAGUAGAGAAGGAUCGCCUGUUGCUUAUCAAGGAGAAGCUUCGUUCUCUCGUUGCUGUGCCUCGAUUUCCAAGGAAGGGAGUUUCCAAGAAGGAUGAUGAUAGCGCAGAGGUAAUCCCGGAGCAAAAAGACGCAAGUGAUGAGGAGGGUGCUGAAGACUGGUCGGAUGUUGGUGACUUGAUGAUUGAUGGCGUAGAUGGUGAUGACAAUGAGGAUGACGACUUUGAUGGCAAUUAUGAGGAUGAUUGGACUGAGGAAGAUGAAGAUACACCGCCAGAUUUUGAUGAAGAUGGCAGUUCUGUGAAGAUUGGUAUCGGCAAGCCAAUUGAGCAGACUGGUUACUCCACAGAUAAUGAAGAAAAAAUUCUUGUUCCCACGUUUCCUGAUGGUCGUCCUAGAGAAUGCUGGUAGAAUUGCUAUGAUGAUAUAUGAUUGAAGAGUCCAUUAUACAAGGUGUGUCAUGAAUUCCUUUGAAGUAGGAUUCUGUCCACAGUGUCCUCCCGCCUAUAGUCUCUCUGGGAAAAGGAAGGGCUAUGUGACGCUGCAGAUCGUUUCCCAGAAGGGGUCAGUAUAAUCAUGGGCUACUCAGGCUACUAGGAGAUAGUCAUGACUUAGACAUGACAGAAAAUGUUUUAUGGCAAUUCUUUCAUGUAGGGAAAAGUCGACACGUCCAGAUAGAUACUUGGCGCUGAAGCUAAAAGAUUGGGAGCACCACAGUAUUCUCUCAAUAUGAUUAUGGUCUAAACGAACAAGUUACGCAUUCUCAAUGGCUGAGCCAGUUUUAGUUGUUCGAUGGGCCAUUUAUAGUAUGUUCUGAUUAAUAAAUAAUAACAGUCAAUAGUCAAUACUAAGGAUGAGAACGGAAAAUUUUCCACCAACAAAUUUAGUCCAGCAAGGGCAAAUGCUAGAAAGCUGUUUAGUGGGUUCUCUCUAGAUGGAUCUUCAUACAUGUUUCCUUGUGGAACUAUGCAUAACCUCUGUACAUGUCAAGGAGACUAGGUUCAUAUUGUAUAUUAAGAGGUAACGCCUGGAAGUCGUGAGUUUGGUCCUGGAGAUGUCAAUGCCAAGUCGAGCACCGCAUGAAGACCCUAAUCAUUAAUUCAUCUGUGGAUUCUUACGUGGAGAGUUGGAUCGAGGAAUGUCUACAAAACUCUGAUAUGCGUACUUUACUUCGGAAG